RNAcentral lists this ribosomal RNA (252 nucleotides) under uncultured bacterium. RNAcentral describes it as "partial 16S ribosomal RNA". It matches the Rfam family "Bacterial small subunit ribosomal RNA", at positions 524 to 776 of the family's 1533-position model. The record is from RNAcentral.
UACGGAGGUCCCGAGCGUUGUUCGGAAUUACUGGGCGUAAAGGGAGCGCAGGCGGACAGGUCAGUCUAAAGUGAAAUCCGGGGCUCAACCUCGGACUUGCUUCGGAUACUGCCUGUCUUGAGUUCGUGAGAGGAAGAUGGAAUUCAGGGUGUAGCGGUGAAAUGCUCAGAUAUCCUGAGGAACACCAGUGGCGAAAGCGGUCUUCUGGCACGAAACUGACGCUGAGGCUCGAAAGCGUGGGGAGCGAACGGG